CCUACCGGCGGCAGCAGUGGGGAAUAUUGCACAAUGGGGGAAACCCUGAUGCAGCGACGCCGCGUGAGUGAAGAAGUAUCUCGGUACGUAAAGCUCUAUCAGCAGGGAAGAACAUGACGGUACCUGACUAAGAAGCCCCGGCUAACUACGUGCCAGCAGCCGCGGUAAUACGUAGGGGGCAAGCGUUAUCCGGAUUUAAUGGGUGUAAAGGGAGCGUAGACGGCAGCCCCAGUCUGGAGUGAAAUCCCGGGGCUUAACCCCGGAACUGCUUUGGAAACUGUGCGGCUGGAGUGCAGGAGGGGUAAGCGGAAGUCCUAGUGUAGCGGUGAAAUGCGUAGAUAUUAGGAGGAACACCGGUGGCGAAGGCGGCUUACUGGACUGUAACUGACGUUGAGGCUCGAAAGCGUGGGGAGCAAACAGGAUUAGAUACCCUAGUAGUC
Molecule: ribosomal RNA, 440 nt
Filed under: uncultured bacterium
Lineage: Bacteria
Description: partial 16S ribosomal RNA
Rfam family: Bacterial small subunit ribosomal RNA
Source: RNAcentral